Molecule: ribosomal RNA, 426 nt
Filed under: uncultured Acinetobacter sp.
Lineage: Bacteria; Pseudomonadati; Pseudomonadota; Gammaproteobacteria; Moraxellales; Moraxellaceae
Description: bacterial SSU rRNA
Rfam family: Bacterial small subunit ribosomal RNA
Source: RNAcentral
GUGGGGAAUAUUGGACAAUGGGGGGAACCCUGAUCCAGCCAUGCCGCGUGUGUGAAGAAGGCCUUUUGGUUGUAAAGCACUUUAAGCGAGGAGGAGGCGCUCUAGGCUAAUACCCUAGAAGCGUGGACGUUACUCGCAGAAUAAGCACCGGCUAACUCUGUGCCAGCAGCCGCGGUAAUACAGAGGGUGCGAGCGUUAAUCGGAUUUACUGGGCGUAAAGCGUACGUAGGCGGCUUUUUAAGUCGGAUGUGAAAUCCCCGAGCUUAACUUGGGAAUUGCAUUCGAAACUGGGAAGCUAGAGUAUGGGAGAGGAUGGUAGAAUUCCAGGUGUAGCGGUGAAAUGCGUAGAGAUCUGGAGGAAUACCGAUGGCGAAGGCAGCCAUCUGGCCUAAUACUGACGCUGAGGUACGAAAGCAUGGGGAGCAA